GUGCCUUUGCAGUGGGCUCUGCCAAGCGGACUUGCGGGGGAAGCGAGCGGCGAGAGGAGCCCGAGGCGAAAAAGUAGCUGUCAAAUGCGCGGCUCCUUUAAGCGGAGCCCUCAGUCCGGCUCGGAGAGUCAUGGCGACCACAGCGUCUAACCACUACAGCCUGCUCACCUCCAGCUCGCCCAUGGUGCACGCCGAGCCGCCGGGGAGCAUGCAGCCGGGCGCCGGCUACAGGGACGCCCAGGCGCUGGUGCAGGCGGACUACGCGCUGCAGAGCAACGGGCACCCGCUCAGCCACGCUCACCAGUGGAUCACGGCGCUGUCCCACGGCGGCGGCGGAGGCGGAGGCGGCGGCGGAGGGGGCGGCGGAGGCGGCGGCGGCGACUCGCCGUGGUCUACCAGCCCGCUGGGCCAGCAGGACAUCAAGCCCUCGGUGGUGCAGGCCGGCGGCCGGGGGGACGAGCUCCAGCAGCAGCAUCACCAGCAGCAGCAACAGCAGCAGCAGCAGCAAGGCAGACCGCCGCACCUGGUGCACCACGCCGGGAGCCACCACGCCGCCGUGGCCGCCGCCGUGGCGUGGAGGACUGGCGGCUCGGCUCACCUGCCGCCCGGCAUGGCCGCGUCCAACGGCAGCGGCCAGGGCGGGCUCCUGUACUCGCAGCCGCCGGGCUUCACGGUCAACGGGAUGCUGGGCUCCGGGCAGCCGGGCAUGCACCACCACGGCCUGCGGGACGCCCACGAGGAGCAGCAGCAGCCGCCGCCGCCGCAGCCGCCCCCUCACCACCCCGACCACCUCCCGCAGCAGCAGCAGCACCCGCACGGGCAGCAGCAGCAGCAGCACCACCACCACCAUCAGCACCACCACGAGGCGCACUCGGACGAGGACACGCCGACCUCGGACGACCUGGAGCAGUUCGCCAAGCAGUUCAAGCAGCGGCGGAUCAAACUGGGAUUUACCCAAGCGGACGUGGGCUUGGCCUUGGGCACGCUCUACGGCAACGUCUUCUCGCAGACCACCAUCUGCAGGUUCGAGGCCCUGCAGCUGAGCUUCAAGAACAUGUGCAAGUUGAAGCCUUUGUUGAACAAGUGGCUCGAGGAGGCGGACUCGUCGUCGGGCAGCCCCACCAGCAUAGACAAGAUCGCGGCGCAAGGGCGCAAGCGGAAAAAACGCACCUCCAUCGAGGUGAGCGUCAAGGGCGCCCUCGAGAGCCAUUUCCUCAAGUGCCCCAAGCCCUCUGCCCAGGAGAUCACCUCGCUGGCGGACAGCCUCCAGCUCGAGAAAGAGGUGGUCCGCGUGUGGUUUUGUAACAGGAGACAGAAAGAGAAACGCAUGACUCCCCCGGGAGGGACUCUGCCGGGAGCCGAGGACGUGUAUGGGGCCAGCAGGGACACGCCGCCGCCGCACCACGGGGUACAGACUCCUGUGCAGUGAACUCCGCCACCAGCGGAGCAGUGGGAGGAGCAGGGGGGAGCGGGGGGCGACCCCUGGCUCCCUCCCUCCAACCCCUUCCUCCUCCCCCUCCUCCUCCUCCUCCUCCUCCUCCUCCAACCUUUUGAUUGUUUCCCCCUAACCCCUCUUAAAACAAAAGCAGACAAAACAAAACAAAAAAACACAAGGAAGGAAGGCAGGCGCCUGCACUGAACUAUCCUUGAAACGGUAGCAAAGUGUGUAAUGUGUGUUGACCUUUACAGGCGAGUAACCAGGCAAUGAAGUGCAAAACACACGAACUGUUCCUUGGUUUUCAUUCAUACUCGUCCCUUUUUGAGGCUGAAAUAAAGUUGUAAGCCACACCGCAGCUGAUGAGCAACUGAGCCGAAGUAUUUGGAUGUAACCGGACUGCAGAGGAACAAGACUGGGAAGAUGCUCUUCCCCUCCCUUCAAAUCACCCCCUGACAACGUUGCUUCAAAGCGGUCCUUAAUUAUGGAACAACUUGCUUGAUAGUCGGAUAGAAGAAUGCAGCCUUCCCUUCACAAGGCGUCUAAAUUCCACAUGCUCCCUAUCUAUUCAACUAGCCCUAAUGGGCUUUUGCUUCUCAUAUUAUUAUUAAUUAUUAUCUCUGGGGUGGUGCUGGAUUAUGUGGCUUUUGUUGCUCACAACAUUAUGUUUUUAUCUUUCUCUCUCUCUUUCACUGUUGUCCUUGUUGAUAGUGGUGGUGUACAGUUUUCUCCAUGGAGUGAAUUAUUCCUAUUUCAGACACAAUAGGGGAAACACUACACAUUAUCAGGAUUGUUUUUAUUUUUUGCCUUUUCUUUCCUAAAACUCUUGCAACAAAAUUUUUGCAGAAAUGCAUUUCAGCUCAGAACCACCAAAUAAACAGUUAAAUGUGCAAAACUUUCCAAGGCCUAUGAAACCUUUCACAGAGAGAGAAAGAAAACUACCAGCAAAUUAAAAAUUCAAAUGCAUUUCUUUGAACCUCAUAUGUUGGUAACACCCAGAACACACCAGGUUACUACUGUCCAACCCAGGCACCCUGCCUUCUCAGAAUAGUCCCCGUGAAUUUUGUGGAACUCUUCUAGAGUAAAUGUUCAGAGGACUGUAGUACAUUUCAUUCUCAAAGUACUUCCUAUGGCCACUGAAAUCACUUGGAGCUUAUCUGUACACGAAUUUAUUGCCAUGUUGCUGUGACAAGAGGCAAAUGUCCAUUUGCCACCACGUACCUGCAAGCUUAUUUCUAAGCAAUGCCAGUAGGCAGAGCUAAUUCACUAGAAGUUAAUGAAAAUCUACCAGGAGUUACCUGCAGUGUUCUCUACACCUGGAGACAGAUGCCAGCGUUCUUAGGGUAAAAUCCAUAGAAAUGUAUGGUGUGCUUUGAAACUGCUCUGGAUUAACCAGUUCAAAUGGCGCAGGCUGUAUCACCUGUCCUGCCGGAGGUAUCAAAAAUGUGAAAUGUAUAAUGACAAAAUAGGUGAAGGGUUUUCCCCCCCUUAAAUGGGACCCUCUUUUGAACUUCAGAAAUUUGUCCAAUAAAAAGAUAUCACUUUA
RNA transcript from Hemicordylus capensis (graceful crag lizard), 2981 nucleotides. It is a transcript of the gene named POU class 3 homeobox 2, with no coding region annotated. The record is from RefSeq and is a predicted model, not a curated record. The transcript is spliced from 3 exons. Lineage: Eukaryota; Metazoa; Chordata; Lepidosauria; Squamata; Cordylidae.